This 449-nucleotide ribosomal RNA is filed under the name uncultured bacterium. RNAcentral describes it as "bacterial SSU rRNA". It matches the Rfam family "Bacterial small subunit ribosomal RNA", at positions 43 to 524 of the family's 1533-position model. The record is from RNAcentral.
CAGGCCUAACACAUGCAAGUCGAGCGGGCCCUUUCGGGGGUCAGCGGCGGACGGGUGAGUAACGCGUGGGAACGUGCCCUCUGGUUCGGAACAACCCUGGGAAACUAGGGCUAAUACCGGAUACGCCCUCGGUCUUUGGACCGUGGGGAAAGGCUUGCUGCCGGAGGAUCGGCCCGCGUCUGAUUAGCUUGUUGGUGGGGUAACGGCCUACCAAGGCGACGAUCAGUAGCUGGUCUGAGAGGAUGAUCAGCCACACUGGGACUGAGACACGGCCCAGACUCCUACGGGAGGCAGCAGUGGGGAAUAUUGGACAAUGGGCGCAAGCCUGAUCCAGCCAUGCCGCGUGAGUGAUGAAGGCCUUAGGGUUGUAAAGCUCUUUUAUCCGGGACGAUAAUGACGGUACCGGAGGAAUAAGCCCCGGCUAACUUCGUGCCAGCAGCCGCGGUAAU